GGCGAGUGAAGCGGCAAAAGCUCAAAUUUGAAAUCUGAUGUCCCCGACGUCCGAGUUGUAAUUUGGAGAGGCAUCUUCUGGAGGGGCCCAGCCUACGUUCCUUAGAACAGGACGCCAUAGAGGGUGAGAGCCCCGUUCUUGGCUGGAUGUCCCCGCCUGCAUGUAGUGCCUUCUACGAGUCGAGUUGUUUGGGAAUGCAGCUCAAAAUGGGUGGUAAAUUUCAUCUAAAGCUAAAUAUUGGCGAGAGACCGAUAGCGCACAAGUAGAGUGAUCGAAAGAUGAAAAGCACUUUGAAAAUAGAGUCAAACAGUACGUGAAAUUGUUGAAAGGGAAGCGCUUGAGACCAGACUCAGCCUCGGGCAAACAACCCUCCUUCUGGUCGGUGCACUUGCCCUUGGCCGGGCCAGCAUCAGUUGGGACUGCGGGAUAAAGGCCCAGGGAAUGUGGCUCCCCUCGGGGAGUGUUAUAUAGCCCUGGGUGCAAUGCCGCCCGUCCCGACUGAGGACCGCGCUUCGGCAAGG
RNAcentral lists this ribosomal RNA (521 nucleotides) under Choiromyces magnusii. Its description in RNAcentral is "eukaryotic LSU rRNA". It matches the Rfam family "Eukaryotic large subunit ribosomal RNA", at positions 88 to 534 of the family's 3401-position model. The record is from RNAcentral. Lineage: Eukaryota; Fungi; Ascomycota; Pezizomycetes; Pezizales; Tuberaceae.